This 466-nucleotide ribosomal RNA is filed under the name uncultured bacterium. Its description in RNAcentral is "partial 16S ribosomal RNA". It matches the Rfam family "Bacterial small subunit ribosomal RNA", at positions 29 to 506 of the family's 1533-position model. The record is from RNAcentral.
ACGCACGCUGGCGGCGUGCUUCACCCAUUCAAGUCGAACGGAAAGGCCCUGCUUUUGUGGGGUGCUCGAGUGGCGAACGGGUGAGUAACACGUGAGUAACCUGCCCUUGACUUUGGGAUAACUUCAGGAAACUGGGGCUAAUACCGGAUAGGAGCUCCUGCUGCAUGGUGGGGGUUGGAAAGUUUCGGCGGUUGGGGAUGGACUCGCGGCUUAUCAGCUUGUUGGUGGGGUAGUGGCUUACCAAGGCUUUGACGGGUAGCCGGCCUGAGAGGGUGACCGGCCACAUGGGGACUGAGAUACGGCCCAGACUCCUACGGGAGGCAGCAGUGGGGAAUAUUGCACAAUGGGCGGAAGCCUGAUGCAGCAACGCCGCGUGCGGGAGGACGGCCUUCGGGUUGUAAACCGCUUUCGCCUGUGACGAAGCGUGAGUGACGGUAAUGGGUAAAGAAGCACCGGCUAACUACGU